CACGUGUUGUUCUCACCACCAUCAUCAAAUGCUUACUCAUCUUUUCUAUUUUUGCUUCUCUCCCUUGCUCUCUCUAGCUAACUCGCUUUCUUCUCUCCCUCUUCUCUAUUCUCUAUUUAUUCAGAAGCUUGAAAGAACACAAAGAGCAAUCGAUUUUGAGAGGGUUUUUCUCUUUCACGACUGUUGGAGAGUGAUUCAUAGGCUUUUCUCUCGUGUUUGUGUGAGCCUUCAACAUCGGAUCUUUAAUCAAUAUUUUCAUGGUAUUCAAAAGGUAAAGGCAAGAGGAAGCUGGACCAUCCUUGAGUUGGAGAGCUUAGGUGAUGAUGUGUACAUAUGCAGCUGCUCGUCCGCCACGGCCGAGGUUUAAAGUGAAACUAGGGUUGAACCCUGUUUUGCCGCUUAGAACGGCCUGCUGUAAAUAUUUUCUGUAAUAAACUCUGAAGCUUUAUUUUCGGGAUCCCAAUGUAUAUAUUAAACGUUCUAGUGAAACGUUA
This is a long non-coding RNA of Humulus lupulus (European hop), 494 nucleotides long. RefSeq lists it as uncharacterized. NCBI's taxonomy places the organism in Eukaryota, Viridiplantae, Streptophyta, Magnoliopsida, Rosales, Cannabaceae. The record is from RefSeq and is a predicted model, not a curated record. The transcript is spliced from 2 exons.